RNAcentral lists this ribosomal RNA (468 nucleotides) under uncultured bacterium. RNAcentral's name for it is "partial 16S ribosomal RNA". It matches the Rfam family "Bacterial small subunit ribosomal RNA", at positions 28 to 507 of the family's 1533-position model. The record is from RNAcentral.
GACGAACGCUGGCGGCGUGCUUAACACAUGCAAGUCGAACGGAAAGGCCCUGCUUUUGUGGGGUGCUCGAGUGGCGAACGGGUGAGUAACACGUGGGUAACCUGCCCUUGACUCUGGGAUAACUUCAGGAAACUGGGGCUAAUACCGGAUAGGAGCUCCUGCUGCAUGGUGGGGGUUGGAAAGUUUCGGCGGUUGGGGAUGGACUCGCGGCUUAUCAGCUUGUUGGUGGGGUAGUGGCUUACCAAGGCUUUGACGGGUAGCCGGCCUGAGAGGGUGACCGGCCACAUUGGGACUGAGAUACGGCCCAGACUCCUACGGGAGGCAGCAGUGGGGAAUAUUGCACAAUGGGCGGAAGCCUGAUGCAGCAACGCCGCGUGCGGGAUGACGGCCUUCGGGUUGUAAACCGCUUUCGCCUGUGACGAAGCGUGAGUGACGGUAAUGGGUAAAGAAGCACCGGCUAACUACGUG